AAAUGAAUAGACGGGGGCUCACACAAGCGGUGGAGGAUGUGGCUUAAUUCGAGGCUACGCGAAGAACCUUAUCCUAGGUUUGACAUGCAUGGAUUAGCCCUGUGAAAGCAGGGUGACGCCUUCGGGUGGAACAUGCACAGGUGCUGCAUGCCUGUCGUCAGCUCGUGUCGUGAGAUGUCGGGUUAAGUCCCUUAACGAGCGAAACCCUUGUCGUUAGUUGCCAGCGAGUCAUGUCGGGGACUCUAACGAGACUGCCGGUGUUAAACCGGAGGAAGGUGGGGAUGACGUCAAGUCCUCAUGGCCUUUAUGCCUAGGGCUGCACACGUCCUACAAUGGCGCAUACAAAGGGAAGCAAACUCGCGAGAGCAAGCAAAUCCCAAAAAGUGCGCCUCAGUUCGGAUUGCAGGCUGAAACCCGCCUGCAUGAAGCUGGAAUCGCUAGUAAUCGCGGGUCAGCAUACCGCGGUGAAUGUGUUCCUGAGCCUUGUACACACCGCCCGU
This 500-nucleotide ribosomal RNA is filed under the name uncultured bacterium. RNAcentral describes it as "bacterial SSU rRNA". It matches the Rfam family "Bacterial small subunit ribosomal RNA", at positions 903 to 1397 of the family's 1533-position model. The record is from RNAcentral.